RNAcentral lists this ribosomal RNA (441 nucleotides) under uncultured bacterium. Its description in RNAcentral is "partial 16S ribosomal RNA". It matches the Rfam family "Bacterial small subunit ribosomal RNA", at positions 338 to 795 of the family's 1533-position model. The record is from RNAcentral.
CCUACGGGCGGCAGCAGUGGGGAAUAUUGGGCAAUGGAGGAAACUCUGACCCAGCAACGCCGCGUGAAGGAUGAAGUUUUUCGGAUUUUAAACUUCUGUCGCGAGGGACGAAGAAUGACGGUACCUCGUAAGCAAGCACCGGCUAACUACGGACCAGCAGCCGCGGUAAUACGUAGGGGGCGAGCGUUGGCCGGAAUGACUGGGCGUAAGGGGAGUGUAGGCGGCAAUAUAAGUGAGAUGUGUAAUCCCGCGGUUCAACCGCGGACCUGCAUUUAAAACUAUAUAGCUGGAGUGCAGGAGAGGUAAGUGGAAUUCCUAGUGUAGCGGUGGAAUGCGUAGAUAUUAGGAGGAACACCAGAGGCGAAGGCGACUCACUGGACUGUAACUGACGCUGAGGCUCGAAAGCGUGGGGAGCAAACAGGAUUAGAUACCCGGGUAGUC